Molecule: unclassified non-coding RNA, 378 nt
Filed under: plant metagenome
Description: partial contains 5.8S ribosomal RNA, internal transcribed spacer 2, and large subunit ribosomal RNA
Rfam family: 5.8S ribosomal RNA (bases 1-105)
Source: RNAcentral
GAAAUGCGAUAAGUAAUGUGAAUUGCAGAAUUCAGUGAAUCGUCGAAUCUUUGAACGCACAUUGCGCUCCCUGGUAUUCCGGAGAGCAUGCCUGUUUGAGAAUCAGUAAAUCUUCAAAGUAAAUCUUUUGUUAACUCAAUUGGUUUCUACUUUGGUAUUGGAGGUCUUUGCAGCUUCACACCUGCUCCUCUUUGUUCAUUAGCUGGAUCUCAGUGUUAUGCUUGGUUCCACUCGGCGUGAUAAGUUAUCUAUCGCUGAGGACACUGUAAAAGGUGGCCAAGGUAAAUGCAGAUGAACCGCUUCUAAUAGUCCAUUGACUUGGACAAUACUUUUAUGAUCUGAUCUCAAAUCAGGUAGGACUACCCGCUGAACUUAAGC